This 74-nucleotide transfer RNA is filed under the name bacterium. RNAcentral's name for it is "tRNA-Gln". It matches the Rfam family "tRNA". Rfam says of the family: Transfer RNA (tRNA) molecules are approximately 80 nucleotides in length. The record is from RNAcentral.
UGCGGGAUCGUCUAAUGGUAGGACAGCGCUCUCUGGAGGCGUUUAUCUAGGUUCGAGUCCUAGUCCCGCAGCCA